UCAUCGUGGCCCCCACUGUUAAUAAUUGGUUAUAAUGACAUUCUUCCCACACCUUUGCUCGUGCCAACGAUGCCUCUAUUGUAGCUGGUCGAGCCUCUUUUACAAACAUUUUCAAUUCUGGUGGAUACAAACCAUUGAUUAAUAUUGACAAUAUAAACGCAUCUGGUAUUUGAUUAUUUGACCAUUUAUGAAGUAUAUCCACAAUCCGGCUAUAAUAGGACUCCACUGAUUCCCCC
Molecule: long non-coding RNA, 236 nt
Filed under: Physcomitrium patens
Lineage: Eukaryota; Viridiplantae; Streptophyta; Bryopsida; Funariales; Funariaceae
Description: long non-coding RNA (PPAT_LNC007150)
Source: RNAcentral